GAUGAAGAACGUAGCGAAAUGCGAUAAGUAGUGUGAAUUGCAGAAUUCAGUGAAUCAUCGAAUCUUUGAACGCACAUUGCGCCCCUUGGUAUUCCAUGGGGCAUGCCUGUUCGAGCGUCAUUUGUACCUUCAAGCUCUGCUUGGUGUUGGGUGUUUGUCUCGCCUCUGCGUGUAGACUCGCCUCAAAACAAUUGGCAGCCGGCGUAUUGAUUUCGGAGCGCAGUACAUCUCGCGCUUUGCACUCAUAACGACGACGUCCAAAAGUACAUUUUUACACUCUUGACCUCGGAUCAGGUAGGGAUACCCGCUGAACUUAAGCAUAUCAAUGAGCGGAGAA
RNAcentral lists this unclassified non-coding RNA (337 nucleotides) under soil metagenome. Its description in RNAcentral is "partial contains 5.8S ribosomal RNA, internal transcribed spacer 2, and large subunit ribosomal RNA". The stretch from base 1 to 120 matches the Rfam family "5.8S ribosomal RNA", at positions 35 to 154 of the family's 154-position model. The record is from RNAcentral.